Molecule: ribosomal RNA, 301 nt
Filed under: uncultured bacterium
Lineage: Bacteria
Description: partial 16S ribosomal RNA
Rfam family: Bacterial small subunit ribosomal RNA
Source: RNAcentral
CAGUAGCCGCGGGAAAACGAAGGGGGCUAGCGUUGCUCGGAAUGACUGGGCGUAAAGGGCGCGUAGGCGGCGAUCAAAGUCAGGCGUGAAAUUCCUGGGCUCAACCUGGGGGCUGCGCUUGAUACUGGGUUGCUUGAGUGGGGAAGAGGGUCGUGGAAUUCCCAGUGUAGAGGUGAAAUUCGUAGAUAUUGGGAAGAACACCGGUGGCGAAGGCGGCGACCUGGUCCUUUACUGACGCUGAGGCGCGAAAGCGUGGGGAGCAAACAGGAUUAGAUACCCGUGUAGUCCCUGUCUCUUAUAC